UGGUAACAAAGUGACGCGACCCCGUCGAGGGCAAGCCAACCACAAAAAAGACCAUCUCAGUUCGGAUUGUAGUCUGCAACCCGACUACAUGAAGCUGGAAUCGCUAGUAAUCGCGAAUCAGAAUGUCGCGGUGAAUACGUUCCCGGGUCUUGUACACACCGCCCGUCACACCAUGGGAGUCGGAUAUGCCCGAAGCCGGUGACCUAACCGCAAGGAAGGAGCCGUCGAAGGUGGAGCCGAUGACUGGGGUGAAGUCGUAACAAGGUAGC
This 269-nucleotide ribosomal RNA is filed under the name uncultured bacterium. RNAcentral describes it as "partial 16S ribosomal RNA". It matches the Rfam family "Bacterial small subunit ribosomal RNA", at positions 1234 to 1500 of the family's 1533-position model. The record is from RNAcentral.